Long non-coding RNA from Nicotiana tabacum (common tobacco), 653 nucleotides. RefSeq lists it as uncharacterized. The record is from RefSeq and is a predicted model, not a curated record. NCBI's taxonomy places the organism in Eukaryota, Viridiplantae, Streptophyta, Magnoliopsida, Solanales, Solanaceae.
AAACCGAUUAACCCCCCACCCCUUCAUUUCUCCCUUCCUAACUUGUACAACUAAAUAUAAAAUUACGGAUAUCCUCAAUUUAUUUGUUAGUACCACACUAUAAAAGCAGCCUCUUGUUUAUAUUUUGUGCUUAAUACCAUCACUCAAGUUCCUUUUAGCCUGACUCCUCUUUCCAACAAGAAAUAGUCACCCUUCUAUGCUUUUGCUUUACUUUUUUGGCUAUUAAAUUGAGAAGAAAAUGAUGGGAUUUGAGAGAUUAAUGGUGAACUUGAAGACAAAAUUGAGGAGGUCUCUGAAAAUGAAGGAACCUUACGAUAAGAUUGAGAAGAGUGAAAGCAUGAGAGUGGAGAUUAGGAGCAAGAAAGCUCGUAAACUCAUCGAACAGACUCUUCAAAUUGCUGACUCUCCCAAAACCAGAAGCUAUACUUUCUAGUUACUGCUAAAACGUGUUUUUUGUACCGCAAAUGCCUUGUAAUAACAAAUUUCGUCCCAACUUGAUAAGAAAUCAAGCCAACUGCAGAACCUUAGUGGCGUAUCUGUUUUCUUCUCUUCUUAUUUUCAUACACAAACACACAGGCAGUAAUUAAUUGUUGAGACAGACACAUGAUUCGAUACUAAGCCAAUAGUACUUCUGUGCUGUGUCUCCAUCUGCA